RNAcentral lists this ribosomal RNA (1250 nucleotides) under metagenome. RNAcentral describes it as "bacterial LSU rRNA". It matches the Rfam family "Bacterial large subunit ribosomal RNA", at positions 1635 to 2877 of the family's 2925-position model. The record is from RNAcentral.
UAUACGACCGUACCGCAAACCGACACUGGUGCGCGAGAUGAGUAUUCUAAGGCGCUUGAGAGAACUCAGGAGAAGGAACUCGGCAAAUUGACACCGUAACUUCGGAAGAAGGUGUGCCCUAUUAGUGUGUAGUGAACAACGAAGCAUGAAUGGGUUGCAAAAAAUCGGUGGCUGCGACUGUUUAUUAAAAACACAGCACUCUGCAAACACGAAAGUGGACGUAUAGGGUGUGACGCCUGCCCGGUGCUGGAAGAUUAAAUGAUGGGGUGCAAGCUCUUGAUUGAAGUCCCAGUAAACAGCGGCCGUAACAAUAACGGUCCUAAGGUAGCGAAAUUCCUUGUCGGGUAAGUUCCGACCUGCACGAAUGGCGUAACGAUGGCCACACUGUCUCCUCCUGAGACUCAGCGAAGUUGAAAUGUUUGUGAUGAUGCAAUCUCCCCGCGGAAAGACGGAAAGACCCCAUGAACCUUUACUGUAGCUUUGUAUUGGACUUUGAACAGAUCUGUGUAGGAUAGGUGGGAGGCUUUGAAGCAGGGUCGCUAGAUCUUGUGGAGCCAACGUUGAAAUACCACCCUGGUGUGUUUGAGGUUCUAACCUAGGUCCAUUAUCUGGAUCGGGGACAGUGCAUGGUAGGCAGUUUGACUGGGGCGGUCUCCUCCCAAAGCGUAACGGAGGAGUUCGAAGGUACGCUAGUUACGGUCGGACAUCGUGACGAUAGUGCAAUGGCAUAAGCGUGCUUAACUGCGAGACUGACAAGUCGAGCAGAUGCGAAAGCAGGACAUAGUGAUCCGGUGGUUCUGUAUGGAAGGGCCAUCGCUCAACGGAUAAAAGGUACUCUGGGGAUAACAGGCUGAUACCGCCCAAGAGUUCAUAUCGACGGCGGUGUUUGGCACCUCGAUGUCGGCUCAUCUCAUCCUGGGGCUGUAGCCGGUCCCAAGGGUAUGGCUGUUCGCCAUUUAAAGAGGUACGUGAGCUGGGUUUAAAACGUCGUGAGACAGUUUGGUCCCUAUCUUCCGUGGGCGCUGCAGACUUGAGGAAGCCUGCUCCUAGUACGAGAGGACCGGAGUGGACACACCUCUGGUGUAUCGGUUGUCACGCUAGUGGCAUUGCCGAGUAGCUAAGUGUGGAAGAGAUAACCGCUGAAAGCAUCUAAGCGGGAAACUCGUUUCAAGAUGAGAUCUGCCGGGGCCUUGAGCCCCCUAAAGAGUCGUUCAAGACCAGGACGUUGAUAGGUCAGGUGUGGAAGCCAA